Molecule: ribosomal RNA, 383 nt
Filed under: uncultured bacterium
Lineage: Bacteria
Description: bacterial SSU rRNA
Rfam family: Bacterial small subunit ribosomal RNA
Source: RNAcentral
GGGCCCGCACAAGCGGUGGAGUAUGUGGUUUAAUUCGAUGCAACGCGAAGAACCUUACCAGGGUUUGACAUCCUGCGAAUCUCUUGGAAACAGGAGAGUGCCUUCGGGAACGCAGUGACAGGUGGUGCAUGGCUGUCGUCAGCUCGUGUCGUGAGAUGUUGGGUUAAGUCCGGCAACGAGCGCAACCCACAUCCCUAGUUGCCAGCAGUUCGGCUGGGCACUCUAUGGAAACUGCCCGUGAUAAGCGGGAGGAAGGUGUGGAUGACGUCAAGUCCUCAUGGCCCUUACGGGUUGGGCUACACACGUGCUACAAUGGUGGUGACAAUGGGUUAAUCCCAAAAAGCCAUCUCAGUUCGGAUUGUUGUCUGCAACUCGACAACAUG